Molecule: ribosomal RNA, 253 nt
Filed under: uncultured bacterium
Lineage: Bacteria
Description: partial 16S ribosomal RNA
Rfam family: Bacterial small subunit ribosomal RNA
Source: RNAcentral
UACGUAGGAGGCAAGCGUUGUCCGGAAUUACUGGGCGUAAAGCGCGUGUAGGUGGUGGGACAAGUCUGCUGUGAAAGCGCCUGGCUUAACCGGGCGAGGUCGGCGGAAACUGUCCGACUAGAGGACGGUAGAGGGGGGUGGAAUUCCCGGUGUAGUGGUGAAAUGCGUAGAUAUCGGGAGGAACACCAGUGGCGAAGGCGAUCUUCUGGACGGAUACUGACGCUGAGGCGCGAAAGCUAGGGGAGCAAACGGG